CCUACGGGAGGCUGCAGUGGGGAAUAUUGGACAAUGGGCGAAAGCCUGAUCCAGCCAUGCCGCGUGUGUGAAGAAGGCCUUCGGGUUGUAAAGCACUUUCAGUGGGGAAGAAAGCCUUGGGGCUAAUACCCUCGAGGAAGGACAUCACCCACAGAAGAAGCACCGGCUAACUCCGUGCCAGCAGCCGCGGUAAUACGGAGGGUGCGAGCGUUAAUCGGAAUUACUGGGCGUAAAGCGCGCGUAGGCGGUCUGAUAAGCCGGUUGGGAAAGCCCCGGGCUCAACCUGGGAACGGCAUCCGGAACUGUCAGGCUAGAGUGCAGGAGAGGAAGGUAGAAUUCCCGGUGUAGCGGUGAAAUGCGUAGAGAUCGGGAGGAAUACCAGUGGCGAAGGCGGCCUUCUGGACUGACACUGACGCUGAGGUGCGAAAGCGUGGGUAGCAAACAGGAUUAGAUACCCUUGUAGUC
Molecule: ribosomal RNA, 465 nt
Filed under: Vreelandella stevensii
Lineage: Bacteria; Pseudomonadati; Pseudomonadota; Gammaproteobacteria; Oceanospirillales; Halomonadaceae
Description: partial 16S ribosomal RNA
Rfam family: Bacterial small subunit ribosomal RNA
Source: RNAcentral